AAGAUAAGAGACUUUCUGAUUAGCCAAGGAGACUGCCUGAAACCAACACGAACUACUCAAACACGUAGUUCAGGUCGAAUAGAUCGAGUUCGGCACAGGCAAGUCAUCCUUGGCUACCAAAUGAGACUCUUGUCU
Non-coding RNA from Eucalyptus grandis, 135 nucleotides. NCBI's taxonomy places the organism in Eukaryota, Viridiplantae, Streptophyta, Magnoliopsida, Myrtales, Myrtaceae. The record is from Rfam.